RNAcentral lists this ribosomal RNA (406 nucleotides) under uncultured bacterium. RNAcentral's name for it is "partial 16S ribosomal RNA". It matches the Rfam family "Bacterial small subunit ribosomal RNA", at positions 30 to 526 of the family's 1533-position model. The record is from RNAcentral.
AUUGAACGCUGGCGGCAGGCCUAACACAUGCAAGUCGAACGAGUGGCGGACGGGUGAGUAAUGUCUGGGAAACUGCCCGAUGGAGGGGGAUAACUACUGGAAACGGUAGCUAAUACCGCAUACCAUCGGAUGUGCCCCGAUGGGAUUAGCUAGUAGGUGGGGUAACGGCUCACCUAGGCGACGAUCCCUAGCUGGUCUGAGAGGAUGACCAACCACACUGGAACUGAGACACGGUCAAGACUCCUACGGGAGGCAGCAAAGGUGAAUAUUGCACAAUGGGCGCAAGCCUGGUGCAGCCAUGCCGCGUGUAUUAAGAAGGCCUUCGGGUUGUAAAGUACUUUCAGCGAGGAGGCAUUACUCGCAGAAGAAGCACCGGCUGACUCCGUACCAGCAGCCGCGGUAAUAC